GUCGGCGAGCCCGCGGUGGGGGUCCCCGCGCCGCCCAGGCCUACCCCGGCUCCUUGGGAUAGAUGGGGAAGCUGAGGCCCAGAAGGGGGCUGAGACCACCUCCCAGUUUCCCCAGUGAGGUGGCGCCUGAGCCACGGCCAGGCCCGGCCUCCUUCCACCCGGCCCUGCUGUGCGCGCGGCGGGUGCUGACCUGGCGAGGCCGGACAGGGGACCAGGUCGGGGUGACCGUCACUGACACCUGGACAGUCCUCGUUGUGUUCGGGGUGGGAAGCCCACGGAUCUUCAGAGGGAAGGCACCAGGAGUGGACUGCGGGACACCCAGAGUGGACUGCAGGAGGACACAGAAGCUAGGCUGAAGCGGGAGGAAGCUGGGAACCCUGCACGGGGCCACUGCGCACUGGGACUCGUUACUGGUCCCCAAGACUCAGGGAGAAUGGGGAAGAGUGUAUCACAGCCAUUGGGAACUUUCUUCACCCAUCAAAGCCUCAGGGCUGAAGCAUCCUGAACAAGAACUCAGGAGAGUGAAAGAAACAGUUACCUGUCGGCUGCAGCUGGUACCAGCUCCCCACCCCGUACAGAGACCGAAGCGUCCUCUCUCUCCCCAUCACCCAGCACCAGACUCUGCCCCGCGACCUCAGCCUGCACCUGCUUCCUGGCUCCAUCCAGCCUUCCAGCCUCACUAGAUCAUCAUGGGCCACUGGCCAACACACAGGGCAGUGCCGAGCCCAGGCCGUGGUCACACAUGGCUGGGUUAGUAGCUGAAAACAUUGUUUUUCACUGGCCUCACAGUAAUGGCACCUGCCCCCAUUUUCUGUGAUUGAAUUUUUGGAUCCUGCUACCAGGUUAUGAUAGAUUUUAUGGUAUGUCUCAAGAUAUUGAGAUAAAGGUAAUAAAACAGCUAUAAAGUCCUGGCUCAAGAAGUGUUACAAACCCAAGCAGGGUAAAUACAAGAAAACUGCACCCAGACACAACAUAGUAAAAUUGCUGAAAACCAAAGAUGAAUAGAACACUUAACAGUUGGAGGAAAAAAGCCACAUUACCUUCAUAAGGACACCAAUCACACUAACAUCUGACUUCGAAAUAGAAAUAUAAAAGCCAAACUACAAGGGAAUGUGAUCUUCAAAAUAUUGAAAGAAUUUAAUUGUUAAGUGAAAUAAUUAACUGCCAACCUAAAUUCUAUUCCUAGUGGAAAUACUCUCCAAGAAUAAAGGUGAAAUAAAUACAGACUCACACAAGAGAAAUCAAGAGCGUUCUUCCUCAGGAGACAUGAGCUGAUUGGUAUAGAAGAGGUGUUUGAAACGUCCUUAGAGGGAGGGCUAGAGACACAGGGAGGAGAAACCUUCAGAACACACCUUCCAUUGAGGGCCAAAAAAGUCAACUAUCGAUUCUUUGAAAGUGCCCCAAACUCGUAAAUCUCUGGUGAUGCUGACCAAAAAAACAAUGAAGGAAGGCACCCUGUGAUGGGGAAGGAAAAGGGGAGAUUGCUGGAGAUCUGUGGAUAUUAAAAAUAGGCACAUAUACACUAUGGAAUACUAUGCAGCCAUAAAAAAGGAUGAGUUCAUGUCCUUUGUAGUGACAUGGAUGAAGCUGAAAACCAUCAUUCUGAGCAAACUUUCGCAAGGACAGAAAACCAAACACUGCAUGUUCUCACUCAUAGGUGGGAAUUGAACAAUG
Molecule: long non-coding RNA, 1674 nt
Filed under: Homo sapiens (human)
Lineage: Eukaryota; Metazoa; Chordata; Mammalia; Primates; Hominidae
Description: PREDICTED lncRNA (TCONS_00258397)
Source: RNAcentral